Molecule: ribosomal RNA, 2632 nt
Filed under: Vibrio parahaemolyticus VP2007-007
Lineage: Bacteria; Pseudomonadati; Pseudomonadota; Gammaproteobacteria; Vibrionales; Vibrionaceae
Description: bacterial LSU rRNA
Rfam family: Bacterial large subunit ribosomal RNA
Source: RNAcentral
GGACUAGCCCUUAAGCUUUACACGCGUUAGACGAACGGUCUGGAAAGUCCGACGAUACAGGGUGAUAGUCCCGUAGUUGACGACGUGUGUUCAGUGAAAUCGAGUAGGGCGGGACACGUGAUAUCCUGUCUGAAUAUGGGGGGACCAUCCUCCAAGGCUAAAUACUACUGACUGACCGAUAGUGAACCAGUACCGUGAGGGAAAGGCGAAAAGAACCCCUGUGAGGGGAGUGAAAUAGAACCUGAAACCGUGUACGUACAAGCAGUAGGAGCACCUUCGUGGUGUGACUGCGUACCUUUUGUAUAAUGGGUCAGCGACUUAUAUUCAGUGGCAAGGUUAACCAUCUAGGGGAGCCGUAGGGAAACCGAGUCUUAACUGGGCGUUCAGUCUCUGGAUAUAGACCCGAAACCAGGUGAUCUAGCCAUGGGCAGGUUGAAGGUUGAGUAACAUCAACUGGAGGACCGAACCGACUAAUGUUGAAAAAUUAGCGGAUGACUUGUGGCUAGGGGUGAAAGGCCAAUCAAACCUGGAGAUAGCUGGUUCUCCCCGAAAGCUAUUUAGGUAGCGCCUCGGACGAAUACUACUGGGGGUAGAGCACUGUUAAGGCUAGGGGGUCAUCCCGACUUACCAACCCUUUGCAAACUCCGAAUACCAGUAAGUACUAUCCGGGAGACACACGGCGGGUGCUAACGUCCGUCGUGGAGAGGGAAACAACCCAGACCGCCAGCUAAGGUCCCAAAUUACUACUAAGUGGGAAACGAUGUGGGAAGGCUCAGACAGCCAGGAUGUUGGCUUAGAAGCAGCCAUCAUUUAAAGAAAGCGUAAUAGCUCACUGGUCGAGUCGGCCUGCGCGGAAGAUGUAACGGGGCUAAGUAGUAAACCGAAGCUGCGGCAAUAUACUUUUGUAUAUUGGGUAGGGGAGCGUUCUGUAAGCGGUUGAAGGUGUGUGGUAACGCAUGCUGGACGUAUCAGAAGUGCGAAUGCUGACAUGAGUAACGAUAAAGGGGGUGAAAAACCUCCUCGCCGGAAGACCAAGGGUUCCUGUCCAACGUUAAUCGGGGCAGGGUAAGUCGACCCCUAAGGCGAGGCCGAAAGGCGUAGUCGAUGGGAAACGGGUUAAUAUUCCCGUACUUCUUACAAUUGCGAUGGGGGGACGGAGAAGGCUAGGUGGGCCUGGCGACGGUUGUCCAGGUUCAAGUGCGUAGGCUUAAGAGUUAGGUAAAUCCGGCUCUUUUUAAGGCUGAGACACGACGUCGAGCACCUACGGGUGUGAAGUCAUUGAUGCCAUGCUUCCAGGAAAAGCCUCUAAGCUUCAGAUUGUAAGGAAUCGUACCCCAAACCGACACAGGUGGUCGGGUAGAGAAUACCAAGGCGCUUGAGAGAACUCGGGUGAAGGAACUAGGCAAAAUGGUACCGUAACUUCGGGAGAAGGUACGCUCUUGAUGGUGAAGUCCCUUGCGGAUGGAGCUGACGAGAGUCGCAGAUACCAGGUGGCUGCAACUGUUUAUUAAAAACACAGCACUGUGCAAAAUCGUAAGAUGACGUAUACGGUGUGACGCCUGCCCGGUGCCGGAAGGUUAAUUGAUGGGGUUAGACUUCGGUCGAAGCUCUUGAUCGAAGCCCCGGUAAACGGCGGCCGUAACUAUAACGGUCCUAAGGUAGCGAAAUUCCUUGUCGGGUAAGUUCCGACCUGCACGAAUGGCGUAAUGAUGGCCACGCUGUCUCCACCCGAGACUCAGUGAAAUUGAAAUCGCUGUGAAGAUGCAGUGUACCCGCGGCUAGACGGAAAGACCCCGUGAACCUUUACUACAGCUUGGCACUGAACAUUGACCCUACAUGUGUAGGAUAGGUGGGAGGCUUUGAAGCACGUACGCCAGUAUGUGUGGAGCCGUCCUUGAAAUACCACCCUUGUAGUGUUGAUGUUCUAACGUCGACCCCUUAUCGGGGUUGCGGACAGUGCCUGGUGGGUAGUUUGACUGGGGCGGUCUCCUCCCAAAGAGUAACGGAGGAGCACGAAGGUGGGCUAAUCACGGUUGGACAUCGUGAGGUUAGUGCAAUGGCAUAAGCCCGCUUGACUGCGAGAAUGACAAUUCGAGCAGGUGCGAAAGCAGGUCAUAGUGAUCCGGUGGUUCUGAAUGGAAGGGCCAUCGCUCAACGGAUAAAAGGUACUCCGGGGAUAACAGGCUGAUACCGCCCAAGAGUUCAUAUCGACGGCGGUGUUUGGCACCUCGAUGUCGGCUCAUCACAUCCUGGGGCUGAAGUCGGUCCCAAGGGUAUGGCUGUUCGCCAUUUAAAGUGGUACGCGAGCUGGGUUUAGAACGUCGUGAGACAGUUCGGUCCCUAUCUGCCGUGGGCGUUGGAAGAUUGAAGGGGGCUGCUCCUAGUACGAGAGGACCGGAGUGGACGAACCUCUGGUGUUCGGGUUGUGUCGCCAGACGCAUUGCCCGGUAGCUAAGUUCGGAAUCGAUAACCGCUGAAAGCAUCUAAGCGGGAAGCGAGCCCUGAGAUGAGUCUUCCCUGAUACUUUAAGUAUCCUAAAGGGUUGUCGGAGACUACGACGUUGAUAGGUCAGGUGUGUAAGUGCUGUGAGGCAUUGAGCUAACUGAUACUAAUUGCCCGUGAGGCUUAACCA